GGGUUUACAAAUUUAAUUUUCUAAAAUUCCCAAUUUAGGUUUUUAAAAUAGAAAAUUAAUAUUUCUAAAUUAUAAUUAGAUUCUAAUUAUAUUACAAUUUCUUAAUCAUAAAUUAAAUCUCGCUAAUUAGGAUUAGUAUUUCCUAAUUAAAAUGGCUAAUUUAGCGAUUAGGGUCGUAAUUGGUCAUUAGGGUUUAUAACCCACGAAUUAGGGUUUCUAAUAGAAAAUUAAUUUUCCUAAAUUAGAA
This 247-nucleotide long non-coding RNA is filed under the name Panax ginseng (ginseng). Its description in RNAcentral is "long non-coding RNA (PGIN_LNC014222)". The record is from RNAcentral. Lineage: Eukaryota; Viridiplantae; Streptophyta; Magnoliopsida; Apiales; Araliaceae.